RNAcentral lists this ribosomal RNA (445 nucleotides) under uncultured bacterium. Its description in RNAcentral is "bacterial SSU rRNA". It matches the Rfam family "Bacterial small subunit ribosomal RNA", at positions 331 to 793 of the family's 1533-position model. The record is from RNAcentral.
CCAGACUCCUACGGGAGGCAGCAGUGGGGAAUAUUGCACAAUGGGGGAAACCCUGAUGCAGCGACGCCGCGUGAGCGAUGAAGUAUUUCGGUAUGUAAAGCUCUAUCAGCAGGGAAGAAAAUGACGGUACCUGACUAAGAAGCCCCGGCUAACUACGUGCCAGCAGCCGCGGUAAUACGUAGGGGGCAAGCGUUAUCCGGAUUUACUGGGUGUAAAGGGAGCGUAGACGGCUGUGCAAGCCAGAUGUGAAAGCCCGGGGCCCAACCCCGGGGCUGCAUUGGGAACUGCCAGGCUGGAGUGCCGGAGAGGCAGGCGGAAUUCCUAGUGUAGCGGUGAAAUGCGUAGAUAUUAGGAGGAACACCAGUGGCGAAGGCGGCCUGCUGGACGGUGACUGACGCUGAGGCUCGAAAGCGUGGGGAGCAAACAGGAUUAGAUACCCCAGUAU